AGGACCGGAGUGGACGCAUCACUGGUGUUCGGGUUGUCAUGCCAAUGGCACUGCCCGGUAGCUAAAUGCGGAAGAGAUAAGUGCUGAAAGCAUCUAAGCACGAAACUUGCCCCGAGAUGAGUUCUCCCUGAGACUUUAAGUCUCCUGAAGGAACGUUGAAGACGACGACGUUGAUAGGCCGGGUGUGUAAGCGCAGCGAUGCGUUGAGCUAACCGGUACUAAUGAACCGUGAGGCUUAACCUU
Molecule: ribosomal RNA, 243 nt
Filed under: Pseudomonas aeruginosa
Lineage: Bacteria; Pseudomonadati; Pseudomonadota; Gammaproteobacteria; Pseudomonadales; Pseudomonadaceae
Also listed under: 2 other names
Description: partial 23S ribosomal RNA
Rfam family: Bacterial large subunit ribosomal RNA
Source: RNAcentral